UACGGAGGGGGCUAGCGUUGUUCGGAAAUACUGGGCGUAAAGCGCACGUAGGCGGUGGAGUAAGUCAGAGGUGAAAUCCCAGGGCUCAACCCUGGAACUGCCUUUGAAACUGCUACACUAGAAUCAUGGAGAGGUCAGUGGAAUUCCGAGUGUAGAGGUGAAAUUCGUAGAUAUUCGGAAGAACACCAGUGGCGAAGGCGACUGACUGGACAUGUAUUGACGCUGAGGUGCGAAAGCCAGGGGAGCAAACGGG
This 253-nucleotide ribosomal RNA is filed under the name uncultured bacterium. RNAcentral describes it as "partial 16S ribosomal RNA". It matches the Rfam family "Bacterial small subunit ribosomal RNA", at positions 524 to 776 of the family's 1533-position model. The record is from RNAcentral.